Oncorhynchus keta (chum salmon) is the source of this 1276-nucleotide long non-coding RNA. RefSeq lists it as uncharacterized. The record is from RefSeq and is a predicted model, not a curated record. Lineage: Eukaryota; Metazoa; Chordata; Actinopteri; Salmoniformes; Salmonidae. The transcript is spliced from 2 exons.
CAUUUGGACGAGAAUCAAAUAAGAAUAAUAAGAACAGACAGCUUACAUCUUAUAUUUAUAUGUAGUUAUUGGGGUCAGAUUGUGGGAUGUUUAAGGGCAGAGUGACAUGACAUUCUGGGACAAGUACAGUGUGUUACAAGGCUAGUGGUGGGAGGAUGAAAGCGAAUGUAGCUUACACAUGGCCAGAAUCUGGAGCACCCCCAGAAUGGAAGAGAAACAGACACUGUAUCUGUGUUUGCUUCCUAUUGACAAGGAUGUGGUGGUUGGCCACAUUUUCCUUAUAAACAACCACUGCUACCAGUAGACAUAAGACACAUCAAAGGCCAGUGCAAAUACUUAAUAUGGGGGGAACAUUAGUGUUAGGCCAUAGACAAACACACUAUCCAGGUUAUACUUCCACACUCCCUUCCCACAGGGGGCAGCAGCAACCUUGUCCAAAUGCUGAGCCUGGUUGAUAAGCACACCAAGUGCUGCCAAUUAAGGUGAUCGUCAGUCAGUCUCCCACGGGGAAAGCCGUGAGGUUGCUGGGUUUGUUUGGUGGCCAUGAGGUCUUUAGUUUGGUAUUUUUCCUUUUUGUACAUAUUUAUGUUUCGUCACCAUCUGAACAAAUUCUAAUCUGCUUGGACUGGCCAACACGGAGCUGGCCCUGAACUUUUUGCUUUUUCAAAAUCUAGAGAUUGUUAUAAAUUGCUUUGCAGAUGCUCCCCACCCCUUGUCUGCAACCCUUCUAAAGUACUGUACCCUGCACACAACCCAUGUGGAAUUUUGGGUCUUUGGCAGUGUUUGGACCUGCGGUCAAAAUGGCGAGUUCAUCUCUGCUGCCCUUCAGUCCCUUGACUUUUUGGCCCUGAAGGAGACAUGGAUCACUCCAGAGAGAGCAGCUGGAGUAGCAGUGUUUUCUUCAUCUGACUGUUUUCUCUCAUAGUCUGAGAGCAUCUGGUCUUCUACCCUCAACACUAUAGCCCUACAGUAACCAUAAUGUAUGCUCGCCCUGGGCGACGCUGGAUGACUCUCAGUACUGUAUCUGAUUUAUUUUGUUUACCCUUGAAUUUUGAAUAGGCUCGUUCAUAUUUCCUUAAUCUGGUGCUUACCUGUUUACACAAAUGUAAGCACCACAAUUGUAAUGCAAAGAUGAUUGAAAGUAAAAUAAAUAUAAAAAUCAGAGUACUGGCAAGAUUCCUCCACGGUGGUUGCUUUAGUUUCAGGCCCUGCUUAGCCUAAAUGCAGAGACUAUUCUUCUCUCUGCUGAAAUAAAUGAUCGUCCUUCAAGAUGUGA